RNAcentral lists this ribosomal RNA (301 nucleotides) under uncultured bacterium. RNAcentral describes it as "partial 16S ribosomal RNA". It matches the Rfam family "Archaeal small subunit ribosomal RNA", at positions 459 to 760 of the family's 1478-position model. The record is from RNAcentral.
CAGCAGCCGCGGUAAUACCAGCACCUCGAGUGGUCAGGAGGUUUAUUGGGCCUAAAGCAUCCGUAGCCGGUUGCAUAAGUUUUCGGUUAAAUCUAUGCGCUUAACGUAUAGGCCGCCGAAAAUACUGUGCAGCUAGGGAGUGGGAGAGGUACACGGUACUCGAUAGGAAGGGGUAAAAUCCUUUGAUCUAUUGAUGACCACCUGUGGCGAAGGCGGUGUACCAGAACACGUUCGACGGUGAGGGAUGAAAGCUGGGGGAGCAAACAGGAUUAGAUACCCCCGUAGUCCCUGUCUCUUAUAC